AACGAACGCUGGCGGCAUGCCUAACACAUGCAAGUCGAACGAGACCUUCGGGUCUAGUGGCGCACGGGUGCGUAACGCGUGGGAACCUGCCCUUAGGUUCGGAAUAACUCCCCGAAAGGGGUGCUAAUACCGGAUAAUGUCUUCGGACCAAAGAUUUAUCGCCUUUGGAUGGGCCCGCGUUGGAUUAGCUAGUUGGUAGGGUAAAAGCCUACCAAGGCGACGAUCCAUAACUGGUCUGAGAGGAUGAUCAGCCACACUGGGACUGAGACACGGCCCAGACUCCUACGGGAGGCAGCAGUGGGGAAUAUUGGACAAGGGGCGAAAGCCUGAUCCAGCAAUGCCGCGUGAGUGAUGAAGGCCUUAGGGUUGUAAAGCUCUUUUACCCGGGAUGAUAAUGACAGUACCGGGAGAAUAAGCUCCGGCUAACUACGUG
Molecule: ribosomal RNA, 433 nt
Filed under: uncultured bacterium
Lineage: Bacteria
Description: partial 16S ribosomal RNA
Rfam family: Bacterial small subunit ribosomal RNA
Source: RNAcentral